Molecule: ribosomal RNA, 53 nt
Filed under: uncultured fungus
Lineage: Eukaryota; Fungi
Description: partial 28S ribosomal RNA
Source: RNAcentral
GUUUGACCUCAAAUCAGGUAGGACUACCCGCUGAACUUAAACAUAUCAUAAAG